This is a long non-coding RNA of Oncorhynchus keta (chum salmon), 3216 nucleotides long. RefSeq lists it as uncharacterized. NCBI's taxonomy places the organism in Eukaryota, Metazoa, Chordata, Actinopteri, Salmoniformes, Salmonidae. The transcript has 2 exons. The record is from RefSeq and is a predicted model, not a curated record.
UCCUGUGCCACAUAACUUCAUUUUCCAAAUUACUAUGCGUUUCUUGUAGAAAAUGUAUGUCACUUCCCUUUCCCCUAAUUAACUCAUACACCAUGGCUCUUUUUUUACCAUCUCUUGCCCCAUUUACGUUUAAAGAAGAAAUCUUAAAACUGCUCAUGGAUGAAAAAAAUAUACAGAGGAAGAUACAGCCACCACAUCUCUUUACAGAGGUAAAACUGCAACUGAACUCUUUCAUUUUCUUUAGAAUUUACAUCACUUAUCACUCUCGUGACCACUUUCUUGAGUCUAGCAAUUUCAGGGCUUUUCAAACUUCCCCCUGUAAUUCUUGACAUCAGAAACUUUGCUGAUUCAAUAAACAAUUCACGUUCAGGGAAAAGAUCAGUUACAUUGUAAUCCUGCAUAUAUUUCUUCCCUUUUGUCAACUUCAGAAAUUGACGUAUCUUCUCGAUCCCAUACCUCCCUUCCACCCCAUUUAUCUCACUGUAUUGUUGUGACGCGUCAGAUGACUCACUCUCACUAUCCUCCCCAGAAGAAAACUCCACCAUCUCUACAACUUGUUCAUCUUCAACUGAUUUAUCAAUCUCUACAUUUCUCUUAGAAUUAGACCCUUCACCACCCCUUAAAUUCUUCCUUUUACUCCUCGGUAUUUUGAAAACAUCCGCUUCCUUUUCCGUUAUUUCAAUCUCCUCUUGACCUCCAAUUUCAUUUUCCAGCACCACCUCAGCGACGGCAGUCGCAAUCUCACCUACUGUUUCCCCUCCCUCUUUGUUCUGAUCUACCACAAUUGCCCCCACAACUGCCCACCUUCUCCCUUCCCCUGCACCCUUAGUAUGUUCAUCCCUUCGCGGUGGUGCGUUAGUUGCACCCGCACUAGAGCUACUACCAGGCUCAGCGCGCUCAUUCUCGGGACAACUACGCACCAAAUGCCCCUCUCUUCCACAGCCAAAGCAUUUCAUUGAUUCAGUAGAUGCAUAGAAGACAUAAUCAAAUCCAUCAAUCUUAAAGCUGAACGCUAAAUUCAAUUCAUCUCCGUCCUUUUUUAAAAUCAUAUGCACUUGUCUCCUAUGAGACACGACAUGUUUCAACAACGGAGAUUUGCAUCCAAAAAGAACCUUCUUUAUUGUAGAUACGAUUUGACCAUGGUGAGAACUCUCGCUCCAACACUUCAUCUCUAACAAAUGGUGGCACGUGAGAGGGCAUAACUUUCUUCGCCGGAUUCAUAAGCGGAAAUACCGGCGUCUGUGUCUCCCGCAACACCACACCCCUCUCAACUAUCUUAUUCACCUUUUCAAUUGAAUCUAAGAAUAUCACUACAGCGCUAUUCAUCCUUGAGGCUGAUUUGAUGCUAUCAUACCCAAUGAUAGCACCCACAGCCAAGCUACAUUCUUCCACUGAACACCCGGCCGCAGCAGGAAUCUUUACUCCAUGCCUCCGACUAAGUUUUUCAAACUCUACACUUCCGUGAGUGGCCAUUGCAACCAGCCCCACCCGCUGGUUGUGCCCUCGCGAAAAACCAACCUCAAAGAUCCCACCACCCCUAUACGUGCUUAGUGAUAGUUAAACAAGAUACCCUUAAAACAACUAAACAAUAUAUAUAUAUAUACAUACCAAAACCCAAUAGAGUGAAAAGAAAUUCCAUUCGCUCUCACAAUCACUCCUGCUUGACGACUCACUCCCAGCAUGCACUCCGACGAGAGAGAGAGAGAGAGAGAGACAAUGAGAGAGAGGAGACAGAGUGAGGGACACAGAGUGAGAGAGAGGAGAGAAAGACAGAGAGGAGAGAGAGAGAGGCAGAGAGGAGAGACAGUCAGAGAGAGAGAGAGAGAGAGAGGAGAGACAGUGAGGGACACGGAGUGAGAGAGAGAGGAGAAACAGUGAGGGACACGGAGUGAGAGAGAGAGAAAGACAAAGAGAGAGAGACAGAGAGGAGAGAGACAGAGAGAGAAAGAGGAGAGAAAGACAAAGAGAGAGAGAGACACAGAGAGGAGAGAAAGACAAAGAGAGAGAGAGGAGAGACAGUCAGAGAGAGAGAGACAGUCAGAGGGGGAGAGGAGAGAAAGACAGAGAGGAGAGACAGUGAGAGAGAGGAGAGAAAGACAAAGAGAGAGAGAGACCGUAAGAGACAGAGAGAGGGGAGACAGAGAAAGAAAGACUCAGGUUGGCAAUGAAUUUGGUUGCUGUCAACUUGUCCUUAAUGUUCCAUGAGGAGGAGAUGUGUACUAUAAAUAUUAUAAUAUUCUAUUUCAUGAGGAGGUGUGUACUAUAAAUAUUAUAAUAUUCUAUUUCAUGAGGAGGUGUGUACUAUAAAUAUUAUAAUAUUCUAUUUCAUGAGGAGGUGUGUACUAUAAAUAUUAUAAUAUUCUAUUUCAUGAGGAGGUGUGUACUAUAAAUAUUAUAAUAUUCUAUUUCAUGAGGAGGUGUGUACUAUAAAUAUUAUAAUAUUCUAUUUCAUGAGGAGGUGUGUACUAUAAAUAUUAUAAUAUUCUAUUUCAUGAGGAGGUGUGUACUAUAAAUAUUAUAAUAUUCUAUUUCAUGAGGAGGUGUGUACUAUAAAUAUUAUAAUAUUCCAUGAGGAGGAGGUGUGUACUAUAAAUAUUAUAAUAUUCCAUGAGGAGGAGGUGUGUACUAUAAAUAUUAUAAUAUUCCAUGAGGAGGUGUGUACUAUAAAUAUUAUAAUAUUCCAUGAGGAGGAGGUGUGUACUAUAAAUAUUAUAAUAUUCCAUGAGGAGGUGUGUACUAUAAAUAUUAUAAUAUUAUAAUAUUCCAUGAGGAGGAGGUGUGUACUAUAAAUAUUAUAAUAUUCCAUGAGGAGGAGGUGUGUACUAUAAAUAUUAUAAUAUUCCAUGAGGAGGUGUGUACUAUAAAUAUUAUAAUAUUCCAUGAGGAGGAGGUGUGUACUAUAAAUAUUAUAAUAUUCCAUGAGGAGGAGGUGUGUACUAUAAAUAUUAUAAUAUUCCAUGAGGAGGAGGUGUGUACUAUAAAUAUUAUAAUAUUCUAUUUCAUGAGGAGGAGGUGUGUACUAUAAAUAUUAUAAUAUUCUAUUUCAUGAGGAGGUGUGUACUAUAAAUAUUAUAAUAUUCCAUGAGGAGGAGGUGUGUACUAUAAAUAUUAUAAUAUUCCAUGAGGAGGAGGUGUGUACUAUAAAUAUUGACUUAACAAAUACAUACUUAUUUCCCUCAUUAAAAUGAGGGAUCAAUUAAAUCUAUUUAUAACAUU